AACAAACGCUGGCGGCGUGCCUAACACAUGCAAGUCGUACGAGAAAGUUGGCUUCGGCCGAUGAGUAAAGUGGCGCACGGGUGAGUAACGCGUGGAUAAUCUACCCUUUAGUCUGGAAUAACUUACCGAAAGGUGAACUAAUACCGGAUAAUAUGCCGAUUUCCCCGGAGAUCGGGAUCAAAGAAGGCUUCUGUUUACAUGCUUUUGCUGAAGGAUGAGUCCGCGUACCAUUAGCUAGUUGGUAGGGUAAUGGCCUACCAAGGUUAUGAUGGUUAGCUGGUCUGAGAGGAUGAUCAGCCACACUGGAACUGAGACACGGUCCAGACUCCUACGGGAGGCAGCAGUGAGGAAUAUUGCGCAAAUGGGGGCAACCCUGACGCAGCAACGCCGCGUGAGUGAGGAAGGUUUUCGGAUUGUAAAGCUCUGUCGAGCGGAAAGAAAUGCAUUAUGGCUAAUAUCCAUAAUGCUUGACGGUACCGCUAAAGGAAGCACGG
RNAcentral lists this ribosomal RNA (494 nucleotides) under uncultured bacterium. RNAcentral's name for it is "bacterial SSU rRNA". It matches the Rfam family "Bacterial small subunit ribosomal RNA", at positions 29 to 495 of the family's 1533-position model. The record is from RNAcentral.